UGGCUCUCGCAACGAUGAAGAACGCAGCGAAAUGCGAUAUGUAAUGUGAAUUACAGAAUUCCGUGAAUCAUCGAAUCUUUGAACGCACAUUGCGCUCUGUUUCGGCAGAGCAUGCCUGUUUGAGAAUCUAUAGUAUUUAUUCACCUAUUCUUACAUUUUCUGUAGGCAAUAGGGGAGAUUUGGGUGAACUGGUUAGCCAGUCACCUUAAAGCUAUGGCAGUGUUCGUCUAUGGGAUGUUUGAGUCUCUAUCGAGCCAGUAUGUGAAUGGUGUAUGCCUUGCUAAUACUGUGCCAUAGGUAUGAGAUGAGUCUCUAUGGGCGGGUGCUCUCACCUAUGAGUGGGGAAACCCACGAACCAUGGUCUCAAAUCAGGCAGGAAGACCCGCUGA
RNAcentral lists this unclassified non-coding RNA (389 nucleotides) under uncultured fungus. RNAcentral's name for it is "partial contains 5.8S ribosomal RNA and internal transcribed spacer 2". The stretch from base 1 to 129 matches the Rfam family "5.8S ribosomal RNA", at positions 22 to 154 of the family's 154-position model. Lineage: Eukaryota; Fungi. The record is from RNAcentral.